CCGGAAUAGCUCAGUCGGUAGAGCAGAGGANUGAAAAUCCUCGUGU
This 46-nucleotide transfer RNA is filed under the name Metzgeria violacea. Its description in RNAcentral is "partial tRNA-Phe". The record is from RNAcentral. Lineage: Eukaryota; Viridiplantae; Streptophyta; Jungermanniopsida; Metzgeriales; Metzgeriaceae.